AUGUCCAACAUCCUUUUCACUAAAAAAUUCCUUGCAAAGCUCGCUGCCAUUAUCAGGAACUUCUGGUGGGUUGGAAUUAGAGAGGAGUCGGAUGCUAGAGCUAUGUACCUUAGGGCUUGGAAGGAUCUUUGUACUCCUAAGAAGAAGGGAGGCCUUGGUAUUAAGAACAUGCUUGCUAUGAAUAAAGGUCUUCUUCUUGCUUCGGCUUGGAGGCUUGCUGAAAAUCCUGAAGGACACCUCUACAAAAUUCUUCAGGCGAAAUAUUUUUCCCGAUUCUUCUAUUUGGAGAGCCUCUGCUAA
RNAcentral lists this ribosomal RNA (300 nucleotides) under Triticum aestivum (bread wheat). RNAcentral's name for it is "partial small subunit ribosomal RNA". The record is from RNAcentral. Lineage: Eukaryota; Viridiplantae; Streptophyta; Magnoliopsida; Poales; Poaceae.